RNAcentral lists this ribosomal RNA (254 nucleotides) under uncultured bacterium. Its description in RNAcentral is "partial 16S ribosomal RNA". It matches the Rfam family "Bacterial small subunit ribosomal RNA", at positions 524 to 776 of the family's 1533-position model. The record is from RNAcentral.
UACGGGGGGAGCAAGCGUUGUUCGGAUUUACUGGGCGUAAAGGGCGCGUAGGCGGUCAGCACAAGUCAGUUGUGAAAUCUCCGGGCUUAACUCGGAAAGGUCAACUGAUACUGUGCGACUAGAGUGCAGAAGGGGCAACUGGAAUUCUCGGUGUAGCGGUGAAAUGCGUAGAUAUCUGGAGGAACACCGGUGGCGAAGGCGGCAUCCUGGACCGGUAUUGACGCUGAGGCGCGAAAGCUAGGGGAGCAAACGGG